UGGGGAAUAUUGGACAAUGGGCGCAAGCCUGAUCCAGCAAUGCCGCGUGAGUGAUGAAGGCCUUAGGGUUGUAAAGCUCUUUCGGCGGGGACGAUGAUGACGGUACCCGCAGAAGAAGCCCCGGCUAGCUUCGUGCCAGCAGCCGCGGUAAUACGAAGGGGGCGAGCGUUGUUCGGAUUUACUGGGCGUAAAGGGCGCGUAGGCGGCGGCCCAAGUCGAGUGUGAAAGCCCCGGGCUCGACCUGGGAGGUGCGCUCGAGACUGGUUUGCUGGAGUUCGGGAGAGGAGCGUGGAAUUCCCAGUGUAGAGGUGAAAUUCGUAGAUAUUGGGAAGAACACCGGUGGCGAAGGCGGCGCUCUGGACCGAGACUGACGCUGAGGCGCGAAAGCGUGGGGAGCAAACAGGAUUAGAUACCCUGGUAGUCCACGCUGUAAACGAUGUGUGCUAGACGUUGGGGAGCUCAGCUCCUCGGUGUCGCAGCCAACGCUUUAAGCACACCGCCUGGGGAGUACGGCCGCAAGGUUA
This 524-nucleotide ribosomal RNA is filed under the name uncultured bacterium. Its description in RNAcentral is "bacterial SSU rRNA". It matches the Rfam family "Bacterial small subunit ribosomal RNA", at positions 355 to 896 of the family's 1533-position model. The record is from RNAcentral.